GAAUUCAAAAAACUGUCGACAACACUGAGAAUCUGAGAUACUAGUAGAGAAACCACAGAGGAUUUUGGGAGAUCAUCAACCAUAUUGGGAUAAGAAGCAAGAAAUCAUAACCCAUUUAACAUUGACUUGAAACUUUCUCAUAAACUCUCACCAAUGGCAUCACGAGCUGGGGGUCUGGUUCAAGAUCAGAAUAUAAAUAUCCACUACAAUGAAACUUCUGUUGGCUGGAAGACAAACGGCUCUAAAGCGCCUCCAAGGAAAGGAGUGCUAGGUGGAAGGACACCACUUGGUGAUUUGUCAAAUUCACUGAAGCCUUCUCUGAAUCAGGCAUCAAAGAAGCAUAACUCUAGCAUUGCCUCCUUAGCUGAGAAAGAGACUGGUGCCUCUUUAAAUGCACUUGACGCAACCAAGAAGAAAAGUACCUCUAAACCUUCAGGGAAGGUGCAAACCAAUGGUAGAAAGGCGCUUUCUGACAUUUCAAAUUCAGGGAAGCCAAACCUGAAUGAGGGAUCGAAGAAGAACUACAAUGCAAAGUUAAGUGUUGUGGCAGAGGAGUCAAUUGAUGCCAAUGCAAUUGCAGAGGAACAGUUUCUGCACAAUCAUCAAGAAUGCAUCAAAGCACAAGCAAGAGCCAUGGACUUGGAUCAAUUUCUACAAACAAUUGGACUAGACAAUGGUAACCAAAAGUUGACCCUUAUAUAUGUAAUUAUUUGUAUCCUUUUUUUACCCUAGCAAAUUAAUUCACGUAUUUGUUUUCUUGUCUAGGUUUUCCCAAACUGCGGGCAAAUCCUAUGUCAAUUAAGGUGAAGGUCUGUCUGAUGGAGUAAACUGCGGGCAAAUCAUAUUUGUUUUCUUGUGGAGUAAACUUUUGUUUCAUUGAUUAUCUGAGUAGAUAGUUUGUGUUUCAGGCUCAGAGUCCCCCAAGGCACUUGGAACUGGAAGAGAUGUUUAAAGAUCCAUCCUGGAAACACAAGCCAUCUAGCAAACUUGAUUCUCCGCCUGCAUGCAGUACUCCAAAAUCACCAAAGCAUUAUAUGCAUCUUGACUACAACUUUAAGCUGUUCGAAUCCCCAUAGAUGCCAAAGCAUUGAUUUCCCUCAUCAAUGCCUGUCUGGGAAGCAGUAAUUUUGCAGCAGUCAUGUGAUUUCAAUCUUUUUGCUUUCUUGUUUGGAUUGGAACGGAAUUUAUGCCUGAUAUGGAUAGUAGACUAUUGUAGAAUAUGCAGUUGCUUUUGUUAGGGGUUAAAGAUUGCAGUUGCUUUUGUUAUUACUGAUUGAAGCACAUAGGUAUGAUCAUUAUCUUAUUUUCUAGUACGUUAGAACUUACUUGGAAGUUUUUCCCCUUGCAAAUACCUUUAUUUCUUGUCGUCUUAUUUGGUUUCUUGGAAGGAAAAGGGGCAAAAAAAAAAUUGGUGAAGGGGCAAAAUGAACUCGAGAAUGUAUGUAACAGCAAAUAAGCUGAGCUUGACUAGCCAGCAAAUAAGCUAGCUAGUUAAAUUUAGAUUCUGUUUGGGGUAAGAUAAAAAAUGUAAUUUUCGAAAAAUAAUAGAUGCUGUUUUAUGAUUAAAAUAAGUUUAAUUUUAAAUUGAUUUUAAUAUCUUAUAACUUGCAUAUUUUAAAAAACAUUUUCUAAUAAUAAUGCCAAAUUGACCAUAAAAUUGAAGUAAAAUUCUCUAAUCAUCAAAUUAGAUUAAUUAUAUCCCCAUAUUAAUAUUUCCUAAAAAAUAAAAAAAAAGCAAAAUGCCCAUAUUAUUCUUAAAAAAUAUCUCUCCAUAUAUUAUUUGGUUGUUUGCGUUAAUUUAAUUAGUUUAUUAUGUAAUGUACUUUGACUUUAAUAGCUAAUGUCACUUGGUACAUUUUUCCAUGGUCAUACAUAGCUGGCCUAAACUUCUGAGUGGGCCUUCCAAUGGAAAUCUAUGGGCUUCCAAGAUUUUGAAUCUCCUGGUCCACUAUUGGGGGAAUAAAAUAUGAUUACUAAUCCCCGCAAGACCAUCGGGUGCACACAAAAACUCGUUGUGAGUGGAGCAUGUGCACAAUGCGAACCUAAUAAAUUUCCCCUCUGUUCUGCAACCCUGCUUAACAAAAACUCCGCACUCCCACUGGAAAACCACGG
This 2112-nucleotide unclassified non-coding RNA is filed under the name Hevea brasiliensis (rubber tree). The record is from RNAcentral. Lineage: Eukaryota; Viridiplantae; Streptophyta; Magnoliopsida; Malpighiales; Euphorbiaceae.